CAGCCGCCGCGGGAAUACGUAGGGUGCAAGCGUUAUCCGGAAUGAUUGGGCGUAAAGCGUCUGUAGGUGGCUUUUCAAGUCCGCCGUCAAAUCCCAGGGCUCAACCCUGGACAGGCGGUGGAAACUACCAAGCUGGAGUACGGUAGGGGCAGAGGGAAUUUCCGGUGGAGCGGUGAAAUGCGUAGAGAUGUGGAGGAACACCAGUGGCGAAGGCGACUCUCUGGUCUGUAACUGACGCUGAGGAGCGAAAGCGUGGGGAGCGAACAGGAUUAGAUACCCGAGUAGUCCCUGUCUCUUAUAC
Molecule: ribosomal RNA, 301 nt
Filed under: uncultured bacterium
Lineage: Bacteria
Description: partial 16S ribosomal RNA
Rfam family: Bacterial small subunit ribosomal RNA
Source: RNAcentral